RNAcentral lists this ribosomal RNA (117 nucleotides) under Dehalococcoidia bacterium. The record is from RNAcentral. Lineage: Bacteria; Bacillati; Chloroflexota; Dehalococcoidia.
UCUGGUGGUUCUAGCGCAGCGGACCCACCCGUUCCCAUCCCGAACACGGUAGUGAAACGCUGCAGCGCCUACGAUACUGCCUUGGUAACGGGGUGGGAAAAUAGGUCAUCGCCGGGG